CUCAUAGCGUAUAUUAAUGUUGUUGCAGUUAAAAAGCUCGUAGUUGGAUUCCUGACCUGGGGUAGCCGGUCCGCCUUACAAAAGGUGCGCACUGAGCGGCCUCGGUCAUCCUUGAGAAGAGCGGUCCUGGCAUUCAGUUGUCGGGGUCGGGAUUCUCGACGUUUACUGUGAAAAAAUCAGAGUGUUCAACGCAGGCUUACGCCUUGAAUACAUUAGCAUGGAAUAAUGAGAUAGGACCUUGGCGGUCUAUUUUGUUGGUUUGCACGCCGAGGUAAUGAUUAAAAGGGACGGUUGGGGUUCUUCGUAUUCAAUUGUCAGAGGUGAAAUUCUUGGAUUUAUGGAAGACGAACUGCUGCGAAAGCGUCGAACAAGGACGUUCUCAUUAAUCAAGAACGAAAGUUAGGGGAUCGAAGAUGAUUAGAUACCAUCGUAGUCUUAACCAUAAACUAUGCCGAUUCAGGAUUGGCGGUCGUUUGUUCUCGACUCCGUCAGCACUGUAUGAGAAAUCAAAAUCUUUGGGUUCCGGGGGGAGUAUGGUCGCAAGGCUGAAACUUAAAGAAAUUGACGGAAGGGCACCACCAGGAGUGGAGCCUGCGGCUUAAUUUGACUCAACACGGGGAAACUUACCAGGUC
RNAcentral lists this ribosomal RNA (633 nucleotides) under uncultured eukaryote. Its description in RNAcentral is "SSU rRNA". It matches the Rfam family "Eukaryotic small subunit ribosomal RNA", at positions 591 to 1224 of the family's 1831-position model. The record is from RNAcentral.